AUCACGGAGCACUCAUUUAAACCUCUAGAUUACAAGGCAAAAAAAGGCAACGCUAUAAAACCAGAAUGCGGAACAAUCCAGGGACCCAUCCAGAAACCUGCCACUCUCAUGAGAUCACAGCUAUUUAAAGCAAAUGGCAAAGAAUCAAUCAAGUCCUGUCCUACAUUUUUUCCUCUCUUUUUUCUCAUUCAAGUAACUUUACACAAGUCACAAUAGGAAAGAAAACAAUCACAACUUCUAUUUCACAUCAACUGUAAUCUUGCAUAAACAUACAAAUGAUCAAAUAAAUAAAAUAUUUAUU
Molecule: long non-coding RNA, 301 nt
Organism: Carassius auratus (goldfish)
Lineage: Eukaryota; Metazoa; Chordata; Actinopteri; Cypriniformes; Cyprinidae
Exons: 2
Source: RefSeq, a predicted model, not a curated record